Molecule: RNA transcript, 2262 nt
Organism: Setaria italica (foxtail millet)
Lineage: Eukaryota; Viridiplantae; Streptophyta; Magnoliopsida; Poales; Poaceae
Exons: 16
Source: RefSeq, a predicted model, not a curated record
CCCAUUUGCCCCUCUUCACUUCCCGCCUCCCCACCUCACCGCCGGCGAGCGAUGCCUCCCCCGGCGGGGCUGCUCCCCUGGCCAUCGCCGUCGACGACGCGCCUUACCACUCCAACCCCAACUCGCCCUCCUCCUCGCACCACCCGCGUCCGCCCGCCUCCUCCUCCUCCCCCCUACACUCGCGUCCGCCUUCCUCCCCCUCCGCCUCCUACAACGCCACCACCGCCUCGCCUCGAGCCCGCCGCGCCAAAACCAACCACCGCCUCCACCCCACUGCCUCCCUCCACUGCCUCCACCGCGUCUUCGUCGUCCACCUGCCUCGAUUGCGUCCACUUCGGGAAGUGCUCAGGGUGCACGCACGAGGUGGACCUCGACAAGCCGCCGGUGCUGCAGGAGGUGGAGAAUUUCUUCAAGGGCCACGGGGUCGGAGAUUUCACCUUCAGCAGAGGCAGGCUGUCCCAAUGGCGGUGCCGGGCAAAGUUAGCAGUUCGUGGAACACCAGAGAACCCGUUGAUUGGUUUAUACCAGGAAGGGACGCAUGUUGUUACAGAUAUUCCAGAGUGCAGAGCUCACCACCCAAGCAUUAAUGCUGCUGUUAAGCUGCUAAGGCAAGGUAUAUCCGAGUUGAAUAUCCAACCAUUUGACGAGGACGCUGGAACUGGUGAACUCAGAUAUGUUCAGAUGGCUGUGACAACAUACAACACAUCUAUUCCAGUUGAUAAAAGAUAUGAGCAAGGGAGAGUUCAAAUUUCGUUAGUUUGGAAUUCAAGAGAUGAGCGUUCCCAAAAUGCAGAGAAGUUGGCUUUAUUGAUAGAAUUCUUGUGGAGAAAUGGUGGGCCAAAGAGUAGUGUUCAUCUGAUCCAUUCCAUAUGGGCCAAUUUUCAGACAUCAACCAGCAAUAUAAUUUUUGGGCACAAAUGGAGACAUCUCAAAGGGGAGAGAGACCUGUGGGAGCGUUAUGGAGGAGUUGAUAUUUCGCUGGACCCAUGUAGCUUUGGCCAGGCUAAUACUCUGUCAUUUAACUCUUUGCUGCAUAAGCUGAACAAGUAUGUACCGCGUGGUUCAACAGUUGUUGAUUUGUACUCUGGUGCUGGUGUCAUUGGACUAUCGGUUGCUGCUUCAAGGAAAUGUCGGUCUGUGAAAUGUGUUGAGAUUAACAAACAAUCGAAGAUGUCUUUUGAGAAAUCAGCAAGCCGACUUCCAACGAACCUGGGUUGCACCAUCACUUGGCACAAUACUGAUGCUUCAGUUGAACCUGUUCACUGGCUUGAAGGGUCAAGUGUCGUUAUUGUGGAUCCUCCCAGGAAGGGAUUGCACCCAUCUGUUAUCAUUGCUUUACAGAAAGUUGCGUUGUCGGAGCGCAAGGCAUACAAGGCUAAAAGUUCACUUGCAAAGGUUAAGGAUGAGAAGAGACCAUGGAUCUUACGGGCAAGGGAGGCUGCUGUUCAUGUUGAUAAUACAACGACAGAAGACAGCAGUGAAACCUGGCCUGAAACCCUUAUAUACAUUAGCUGUGGGUGGGAAAGUUUUAAGAAGGACUGCAAAAGCUUGAUAUCCAGCAAGGCCUGGCAGUUGGAGAAUGCCCAUGCUUUUAACUUCUUCCCUGGCACAGAUAGCAUUGAAAUCCUCGCGAUCUUCAAACGGGAAUCAGAAGCUGGUCAAAAGAAAAAGAAGAAAGCAAAAAGGAAGAAGGCCAAGUAGACUAACAGAAGGCUGACCGUACUGUAACUGGAAGGCUGACGUGGUACGGCCAUAGAUUUUCAUGCUGUGGGUUUUGCAAACCUUUUUUGAAACGACAGUUUUGCAAAUCUCUAAUGCUGGUCCAGAAGAAUACUUUCAUUGGUGCUCUGAGGAAUUUUACACGCUCCAAACCAAUCAACUCAGUGAUCUGUGACUAGCGCAUCGUAAUUGGACACAAGGUUAGGCUAGGGUGCUCAUGUGCGAAAUGACUGUCCGCACCUCCUAAAGCAGACAACUCAAGGCGGGAAUUUCAGGGUGCGUUUGGUUGGGAGAUGAUGUAGGACGGGACGGUCCUGUCCUACUUUUCUGGGAUAGGAUGAUCCUAUUUCUUGUUUGGUUAGAGGGACAGGGGCGUCCCUGUUUUUUGUUUGGUUUGAGGGAUAAAUGUGGGAUGGGAUGAUCCCGUUUUCUGUUUGGAUCGAGGGAUAGCUGGUUAUGAUAACCUUCUGCAGAAUCAUGGUGACAUUACCUCCUACCUGUCAUACCUUCCUUCUUUCUAAGGAUAAUCAUGGUGACAUAAUA